AUUGAACGCUGGCGGCAGGCCUAACACAUGCAAGUCGAGCGGAUGAAGGGAGCUUGCUCCUGGAUUCAGCGGCGGACGGGUGAGUAAUUCCUAGGAAUCUGCCUGGUAGUGGGGGAUAACGUCCGGAAACGGGCGCUAAUACCGCAUACGUCCUGAGGGAGAAAGGGGGGGAUCUUCGGACCUCACGCUAUCAGAUGAGCCUAGGUCGGAUUAGCUAGUUGGUGGGGUAAAGGCCUACCAAGGCGACGAUCCGUAACUGGUCUGAGAGGAUGAUCAGUCACACUGGAACUGAGACACGGUCCAGACUCCUACGGGAGGCAGCAGUGGGGAAUAUUGGACAAUGGGCGAAAGCCUGAUCCAGCCAUGCCGCGUGUGUGAAGAAGGUCUUCGGAUUGUAAAGCACUUUAAGUUGGGAGGAAGGGCAGUAAGUUAAUACCUUGCUGUUUUGACGUUACCAAAAGAAUAAGCACCGGCUAACUUCGUG
Molecule: ribosomal RNA, 484 nt
Filed under: uncultured bacterium
Lineage: Bacteria
Description: partial 16S ribosomal RNA
Rfam family: Bacterial small subunit ribosomal RNA
Source: RNAcentral